CCUACGGGUGGCAGCAGUCGGGAAUAUUGCGCAAUGGAGGAAACUCUGACGCAGUGACGCCGCGUAUAGGAAGAAGUUUUUCGGAUUGUAAACUACUGUCGUUAGGGAAGAGAAAGGACAGUACCUGAGGAGUAAGCUCCGGCUAACUACGUGCCAGCCGCCGCGGUAAAACGUAGGGAGCCAGCGUUCUCCGGAAUUAUUGGGUGUAAAAGGUGCGUAGACGGAAAAGCAAGUUAGUUGUGAAAGCCCUCGGCUUAACUGAGGAACUGCAACUAAAACUAUUUUUCUUGAGUGCUGGAGGGGUAAGUGGAAUUCCUAGUGUAGCGGUGAAAUGCGUAGAUAUUAGGAGGAACACCAGUGGCGAAGGCGACUUACUGGACUGUAACUGACGUUGAGGCACGAAAGUGUGGGGAGCAAACAGGAUUAGAUACCCUGGUAGUC
This 441-nucleotide ribosomal RNA is filed under the name uncultured bacterium. RNAcentral describes it as "partial 16S ribosomal RNA". It matches the Rfam family "Bacterial small subunit ribosomal RNA", at positions 338 to 795 of the family's 1533-position model. The record is from RNAcentral.